CGGAGUAUAGCUCAGCCUGGUAGAGCACCACGUUCGGGACGUGGGGGUCGUAAGUUCAGAAUCUUGCUACUCCGACCA
Molecule: transfer RNA, 78 nt
Filed under: Hyphomonadaceae bacterium JAD_PAG50586_4
Lineage: Bacteria; Pseudomonadati; Pseudomonadota; Alphaproteobacteria; Hyphomonadales; Hyphomonadaceae
Description: tRNA-Pro
Rfam family: tRNA
About the family: Transfer RNA (tRNA) molecules are approximately 80 nucleotides in length.
Source: RNAcentral